Molecule: long non-coding RNA, 360 nt
Filed under: Phaseolus vulgaris (common bean)
Lineage: Eukaryota; Viridiplantae; Streptophyta; Magnoliopsida; Fabales; Fabaceae
Description: long non-coding RNA (PVUL_LNC002181)
Source: RNAcentral
GAGAAAGGGAGCUCGGCGGCAAGAGGAUUGUAACAUGAGAGAAGCAGGAGGUCAACCUUUUUUCAAAUAUACAACAUGGGGUUCUGGCAAUGCAAUGUGGUUUAUACUCUCAUGUCGAUCUGAAUGAAUCAUCCUUUCCACGGAAGUACAUCUUUGCCUGCUAGGCAAGAGUAUAGCAAGUUACAAAUUCUGUCUUGGUAGGGCAUGUCUUUUUAUUACUAUUAAAUUGAAGUAGUUAAUGGUGGGGUUACCUUUAUCCUUUUUGUGGUAAUGAAUAUAUGUAUGUUCCUAAAAAAAGCAAUUUGUCCAUUUUUGCGGGGUCUCGAAGGGGCAUGGAAACACAUAAGAACUCUUGAAUUG